Molecule: long non-coding RNA, 528 nt
Filed under: Dromaius novaehollandiae (emu)
Lineage: Eukaryota; Metazoa; Chordata; Aves; Casuariiformes; Dromaiidae
Description: lncRNA (ENSDNVG00000010824.1)
Source: RNAcentral
AGGUGAGUGUGACUAUGCUGCCUGGAGGAUUUUUUGCCUGGCACUCUCUGCAACUUCCACCUGGCUCUGAGGUCCAUAUCCUGCCUCCAGCAGUAUCUGCACAAGCCCCUACUUUUGGAGCUGUAUGGAUCUUCUGCCAGCUUUUGGGUCACCUGGAAUGGUCCGGGCAUUCCCAUGUAAGCAGGAAAGAGCUACUCCUUCCAGUGUCAGACUUGCUUUCUUGUCCAGCAGCCCUCCUUCAAAUGCACAGCCUGUCAGCUCCUCAUGACUGCUUGAAGCUAUAGUGCUGAAACUGGGACACCAGCUGAAUGAUCCUGUCGGACCUCUGCUCCAUUCCAGGCAAGUACCCUGACCUUUGCCAUGGACCCAGUCCUGCUGGCUCACUUAAUACAAAGCUCAAAAUCUGCAACAGGAAGAUCCAGGCAUCCCCCAAGUGACUCUGGAAUGUGGUUAUGAGCACCAUCCUAGGAGGUGGAAGAAAGAGACUCAGAUCUGUUCAGGGAGGAAAAGGGGCUGAAUCCAGCAUUU